RNAcentral lists this long non-coding RNA (395 nucleotides) under Salvia miltiorrhiza (redroot sage). RNAcentral describes it as "long non-coding RNA (SMIL_LNC013049)". Lineage: Eukaryota; Viridiplantae; Streptophyta; Magnoliopsida; Lamiales; Lamiaceae. The record is from RNAcentral.
GAGGAGGUUUGGGCUCGCUGUUUUGGGCCUGCAGUGGCUGGGAGCGGGUCCUGGGCUGCUCCUUGUGGAUCUGGGCCGCUGCUGGACGGGCCUGGGCGGCUGGGCCGCGUGUUUUGGGCCCAAACAAGGGCUGGUUCUGUUUUUCAGCCUGUUUUAGGCGUUUAUGGGCAUUUUUUGUCCAUUUUUAUUUAUUUUAUUUUUCUUUUAAAAUAGAAUAGAUGUUGGGAUUCCACGAAUGGGUCACGAAGAAUUUUAAUUCUUUUAUUAUGUUCUUUGCAUGUCGUGGUUGUUAAUCCCUUAUGCUCUUUACCUGCUUUUGCACGUCUUUGCUUGUUAAUAUUUGUUUAUUAUUUGCGCUUAGACGAGCAUGAUAGUAGGUUGCCGUUUUCUUAAGC